UACGUAGGGGGCAAGCGUUGUCCGGAUUUAUUGGGCGUAAAGAGCGUGUAGGCGGCCAGGUAGGUCCGUUGUGAAAACUCGAGGCUCAACCUCGAGACGUCGGCGGAAACCCUCUGGCUAGAGUCCGGAAGAGGAGAGUGGAAUUCCUAGUGUAGAGGUGAAAUUCGUAGAUAUUAGGAAGAACACCAGUGGCGAAGGCGGCUCACUGGCCCGGUACUGACGCUGAGGCGCGAAAGCGUGGGGAGCAAACAGG
This 253-nucleotide ribosomal RNA is filed under the name uncultured bacterium. RNAcentral describes it as "partial 16S ribosomal RNA". It matches the Rfam family "Bacterial small subunit ribosomal RNA", at positions 524 to 776 of the family's 1533-position model. The record is from RNAcentral.